RNA transcript from Sapajus apella (tufted capuchin), 611 nucleotides. It is a transcript of the gene named cation channel sperm-associated protein 2 pseudogene, with no coding region annotated. The record is from RefSeq and is a predicted model, not a curated record. The transcript has a single exon. Lineage: Eukaryota; Metazoa; Chordata; Mammalia; Primates; Cebidae.
ACGUGGGGGGUCCGGCGGGGCAGGCUGGAGCUGGCAAUGGGGCGCAGUGAGGCUGGGCGCCUACCUUGAGCUCGUCCUGCGUGGAGGGAGCUUUGCUCAUAGCCUGAGGCGGAAGCGUGAAGCCAGGACUGAGUGGGUGAAGAGAGCCUGGGCUGAGCAGACAUGGCCGCUUAUCACCAAGAAGGGCAGGUGCAGCUGCCCCGAGCUGAUGUCAUUCGUUCACGUCUCAUGGAUACUUUCUCUCUCAUCGAGCAUUUGCAAGGAUUGGGCCAAGCUGUGCCGGGCACACUAUCAGGGAGUUACUUGAUCCCUCUCGCCAGAAGAAACUCAUGUUGGGAGAUCAACAACAGCUGGUGCGCUUCUCAAUAAAGCCUCAACAUAUAGGACAGAUUUCACAAGCCCAGAGGCUACGGAGGAAGCUUCAUGUGCGCUGCAGUCAGAGGCCACCUCUUUCUUUGUGGGCCGGAUGGGUCCUUGAGCGUAUCCUUCAUGUCACUUACUUUUAUACUGGCUGUUCAUCAUCUGCCUAAUGACUUAUUUUUUGCACCCCAAACUCCUUUUUCUCAUUCUCACUGGUUAUGUUAUUGCCCUUAUUAUUUCAGCUGCAUAAA